GACUCUGAUCAGCCAUUCAGCGUGAAGGAAGAAGGACCUAUGGUUUGUAAACUUCUUUUGUAACAGAGAAAACCCUUUCCUGCGGGAGAGGUUGAUAGUAUGUUAAGAAUAAGCAUCGGCUAACUUCGUGCCAGCAGCCGCGGUAAUACGAAGGAUGCAAGCGUUAUCCGGAUUUAUUGGGUUUAAAGGGAGCGUAGGCGGUCUUAUAAGUCAGUGGUGAAAUCCUAUCGCUUAACGAUAGACGUGCCAUUGAUACUGUAGGACUUGAGUACAGAUGCCGUUGGCGGAAUGUGUCAUGUAGACGGUGAAAUGCAUAGAUAUGACACAGAACACCGAUUGCGAAGGCAGCUGACGAAACUGUAACUGACGCUGAGGCUCGAAAGCGUGGGGAUCAAACAGGAUUAGAUACCCUGGUAGUCCACGCCCUAAACUAUGAUUACUCGUUGUCGGCGAUAUACAGUCGGUAACUAAGCGAAAGCGUUAAGUAAUCCACCUGGGGAGUACGCCCGCAAGGGUGAAACUCAAAGGAAUUGACGGGGGCCCGCACAAGCGGAGGAGCAUGUGGUUUAAUUCGAUGGUACGCGAGGAACCUUACCAGGGCUUGAACAGUUAGNUGACCGUCUCUGAAAGGAGACUUUCCGUAAGGACACCGAAACUAGGUGACUGCAAUGGG
Molecule: ribosomal RNA, 673 nt
Filed under: uncultured soil bacterium
Lineage: Bacteria
Description: bacterial SSU rRNA
Rfam family: Bacterial small subunit ribosomal RNA
Source: RNAcentral